Molecule: ribosomal RNA, 417 nt
Filed under: bacterium enrichment culture clone ALO1_GLFRUDD03GK3H9
Lineage: Bacteria
Description: bacterial SSU rRNA
Rfam family: Bacterial small subunit ribosomal RNA
Source: RNAcentral
GAGUUUGAUCGUGGCUCAGAUUGAACGCUGGCGGCAUGCCUUACACAUGCAAGUCGAACGGCAGCACGGGAGCUUGCUCCUGGUGGCGAGUGGCGAACGGGUGAGUAAUGCAUCGGAACGUAUCCUGGAGUGGGGGAUAACGUAGCGAAAGUUACGCUAAUACCGCAUAUUCUGUGAGCAGGAAAGCGGGGGACCUUCGGGCCUCGCGCUCUUGGAGCGGCCGAUGUCGGAUUAGCUAGUUGGUGAGGUAAAGGCUCACCAAGGCGACGAUCCGUAGCAGGUCUGAGAGGAUGAUCUGCCACACUGGAAUUGAGACACGGUCCAGACUCCUACGGGAGGCAGCAGUGGGAAUUUUGGACAAUGGGGGCAACCCUGAUCCAGCCAUGCCGCGUGAGUGAAGAAGGCCUCGGUUGUAAG